This is a small nucleolar RNA of Cricetulus griseus (Chinese hamster), 72 nucleotides long. Ensembl annotates it as small nucleolar RNA SNORD113/SNORD114 family. The record is from Ensembl. Lineage: Eukaryota; Metazoa; Chordata; Mammalia; Rodentia; Cricetidae.
UGGAUCUGUGAUGACCACUGGUGCCGUAUGAGUCUUGGAUCGUGACUACAGGUCUGGGAGUCUGAGGUCCAC